This 253-nucleotide ribosomal RNA is filed under the name uncultured bacterium. RNAcentral describes it as "partial 16S ribosomal RNA". It matches the Rfam family "Bacterial small subunit ribosomal RNA", at positions 524 to 776 of the family's 1533-position model. The record is from RNAcentral.
UACGAAGGGUGCAAGCGUUACUCGGAAUUACUGGGCGUAAAGCGUGCGUAGGUGGUUCGUUAAGUCUGUCGUGAAAGCCCCGGGCUCAACCUGGGAAUGGCGAUGGAUACUGGCGAGCUUGAGUACGAAAGAGGAUCGCGGAAUUCCCGGUGUAGAGGUGAAAUUCGUAGAUAUCGGGAGGAACACCAGUGGCGAAGGCGGCGAUCUGGGUCGAUACUGACGCUGAGGUGCGAAAGCGUGGGGAGCAAACAGG